This 449-nucleotide ribosomal RNA is filed under the name uncultured bacterium. Its description in RNAcentral is "bacterial SSU rRNA". It matches the Rfam family "Bacterial small subunit ribosomal RNA", at positions 330 to 795 of the family's 1533-position model. The record is from RNAcentral.
UCCAGACUCCUACGGGAGGCAGCAGUGGGGGAUAUUGCACAAUGGGGGGAACCCUGAUGCAGCGACGCCGCGUGGGUGAAGGAGCGUUUCGGCGCGUAAAGCCCUAUCGGCAGGGAAGAAGGAGGACGGUACCUGACUAAGAAGCCCCGGCUAACUACGUGCCAGCAGCCGCGGUAAUACGUAGGGGGCAAGCGUUAUCCGGAUUUACUGGGUGUAAAGGGGGCGCAGACGGCAGCGCAAGCCAGGAGUGAAAGCCCGGGGCCCAACCCCGGGACUGCUCUUGGAACUGCGCGGCUGGAGUGCAGGAGGGGCAGGCGGAAUUCCUGGUGUAGCGGUGAAAUGCGUAGAUAUCAGGAGGGACACCGGUGGCGAAGGCGGCCUGCUGGACUGCGACUGACGUUGAGGCCCGAAAGCGUGGGGAGCAAACAGGAUUAGAUACCCUCGUAGAC